CCUACGGGCGGCAGCAGUGGGGAAUAUUGCACAAUGGUGGCAAGCCUGAUGCAGCCAAGCCGCGUGAGGGAAGAAGGUUUUCUGAAUGUAAACUUCUUUUCUUAGUGAAGAAGAAUGACGGUAGCUAAGGAGCAAGCCACGGCUAACUGCGUACGAGCAGCCGAGCUAAUACGUAGGUGCCAAGCGGUGACCGGAAUUACUGGGUGUAAAGGGAGCGCAGGCGGGAAGCUAAGGCAGUGGUGAAAACUACGGUCCUAACGCGUAGACUGCAGUUGAACCUGGUUUUCUUGAGUGAAGGAGAGGUUGGCGGAAUGCCGAGUGUAGCGGUGAAAUGCGUAGAUAUUCGGAGGAACACCGGUGGCGAAGGCGGCCUACUGG
RNAcentral lists this ribosomal RNA (378 nucleotides) under uncultured bacterium. RNAcentral describes it as "partial 16S ribosomal RNA". It matches the Rfam family "Bacterial small subunit ribosomal RNA", at positions 338 to 732 of the family's 1533-position model. The record is from RNAcentral.